UGGGGGAUAUUGCACAAUGGGCGAAAGCCUGAUGCAGCGACGCCGCGUGGGGGAUGAUGGCCUUCGGGUUGUAAACUUCUUUUGCUCUGAACAAGGCGCACCAUGGGGUGUGUUGAGUGUAGGGGUUGAUUAGCGCCGGCUAACUACGUGCCAGCAGCCGCGGUAAUACGUAGGGCGCGAGCGUUGUCCGGAAUUAUUGGGCGUAAAGGGCUUGUAGGUGGCUGGUUGCGUCUGUCGUGAAAGCUCAUGGCUUAACUGUGGGUUUGCGGUGGGUACGGGCUGGCUUGAGUGCAGUAGGGGAGGCUGGAAUUCCUGGUGUAGCGGUGGAAUGCGCAGAUAUCAGGAGGAAUACCGGUGGCGAAGGCGGGUCUCUGGGCUGUUACUGACACUGAGGAGCGAAAGCAUGGGGAGCGAACAGG
RNAcentral lists this ribosomal RNA (419 nucleotides) under bacterium. Its description in RNAcentral is "partial 16S ribosomal RNA". It matches the Rfam family "Bacterial small subunit ribosomal RNA", at positions 355 to 776 of the family's 1533-position model. The record is from RNAcentral.